This 253-nucleotide ribosomal RNA is filed under the name uncultured bacterium. RNAcentral describes it as "partial 16S ribosomal RNA". It matches the Rfam family "Bacterial small subunit ribosomal RNA", at positions 524 to 776 of the family's 1533-position model. The record is from RNAcentral.
GACAGAGGGUGCAAACGUUGUUCGGAAUUACUGGGCGUAAAGCGCGUGUAGGCGGCCCUGCAAGUCGGAUGUGAAAUCCCACGGCUCAACCGUGGAAGUGCAUUCGAAACUGCAGGGCUAGAGCCCUGGAGAGGAAGGUGGAAUGCUUGGUGUAGAGGUGAAAUUCGUAGAUAUCAAGCGGAACACCAAUGGCGAAGGCAGCUCGCUGGGACGUGACUGACGCUGAGACGCGAAAGCGUGGGGAGCAAACAGG